GCAAAACGCGAAGAACCUUACCAAGGCUUGACAUACACCGGAAACUUCCAGAGAUGGUUGCCCCGCAAGGUCGGUGUACAGGUGGUGCAUGGUUGUCGUCAGCUCGUGUCGUGAGAUGUUGGGUUAAGUCCCGCAACGAGCGCAACCCUCGUCCUAUGUUGCCAGCACGUGAUGGUGGGGACUCAUAGGAGACUGCCGGGGUCAACUCGGAGGAAGGUGGGGAUGACGUCAAAUCAUCAUGCCCCUUAUGUCUUGGGCUUCACGCAUGCUACAAUGGCCGGUACAAAGGGCUGCGAUACCGCGAGGUGGAGCGAAUCCCAAAAAGCCGGUCUCAGUUCGGAUUGGGGUCUGCAACUCGACCCCAUGAAGUCGGAGUCGCUAGUAAUCGCAGAUCAGCAACGCUGCGGUGAAUACGUUCCCGGGUCUUGUACACACCG
This 437-nucleotide ribosomal RNA is filed under the name uncultured bacterium. Its description in RNAcentral is "bacterial SSU rRNA". It matches the Rfam family "Bacterial small subunit ribosomal RNA", at positions 954 to 1392 of the family's 1533-position model. The record is from RNAcentral.